AACACGUGACUAACCUACCCCGGUGUGGGGGAUAACGGGUCGAAAGACUCGCUAAUCCCGCAUACGAUCCGCCUCGGCGGAGGAAAGCCGUAAGGCGCACUGGGCGGGGGUCGCGUCCCAUUAGAUAGUUGGUGUGGUAAUGGCGCACCAAGUCGAUGAUGGGUCUCUGGUCUGAGAGGACGACCAGACAGAUUGGGACUGAGACACGGCCCAAACUCCUACGGGGGGCAGCAGCAAGGAAUUUUCGGCAAUGGGCGCAAGCCUGACCGAGCAACGCCGCGUGGAGGAUGACGGCUCUUGGGUUGUAAACUCCUUUUGGGGGGGACGAUAAUGACGGUACCCUCCGAAUCAGGCCCGGCUAACUACGUGCCAGCAGCCGCGGUAAUACGUAGGGGCCAAGCGUUGUCCGGAAUUACUGGGCGUAAAGCGUGGGUAGGUGGUCGGUGAUGUGCCGCGUGAAAGCGCCGGAGUAAUGCCGGCGAGGUCGCGGUAGACACAGCGACUGGAGGCUCGCAGAGGAACGUGGAAUUCCCGGUGUAGCGGUGAAAUGCGUAGGUAUCGGGAGGAACACCAGUGGCGCAAGCGGCGUUCUGGGCGAGACCUGACACUGAGCCACGACGGCGUGGGGAGCAAACAGGAUUAGAUACCCUGGUAGUCCACGCAGUAAACGAUGCAUACCAGGUGUGGGAUGGCGUUCGCGUCGUUCCGUGCCGCAGCUUACGCGAUGAGUAUGCCGCCUGGGGACUACGAGCGCAAGCUUAAAACUCAAAGGAAUUGACGGGGGCCCGCACAAGCAGCGGAGCGUGUGGUUUAAUUCGACGC
RNAcentral lists this ribosomal RNA (822 nucleotides) under uncultured bacterium. RNAcentral's name for it is "bacterial SSU rRNA". It matches the Rfam family "Bacterial small subunit ribosomal RNA", at positions 112 to 957 of the family's 1533-position model. The record is from RNAcentral.